This 273-nucleotide ribosomal RNA is filed under the name uncultured Exiguobacterium sp. Its description in RNAcentral is "partial 16S ribosomal RNA". The stretch from base 1 to 181 matches the Rfam family "Bacterial small subunit ribosomal RNA", at positions 367 to 546 of the family's 1533-position model. The record is from RNAcentral. Lineage: Bacteria; Bacillati; Bacillota; Bacilli; Caryophanales.
CCCAACGCCGAGUCUGAUGGAGCACGCCGCGUGAGUGAUGAAGGUUUUCGGAUCGUAAAACUCUGUUGUAAGGGAAGAACACGUACGAGAGGAAAUGCUCGUACCUUGACGGUACCUUACGAGAAAGCCACGGCUAACUACGUGCCAGCAGCCGCGGUAAUCAGGGUAGCUUGAUUUCCCCUUCAUUUUUGUUUUAUUAUUUACAGCUGCAUGAUGUGGGAAAGAAUAUAAUGAUUUUUUUUCCAGAAACCAAAAAAAUAAUUGAUUUAAAGA